RNAcentral lists this ribosomal RNA (288 nucleotides) under Triticum aestivum (bread wheat). RNAcentral's name for it is "partial small subunit ribosomal RNA". Lineage: Eukaryota; Viridiplantae; Streptophyta; Magnoliopsida; Poales; Poaceae. The record is from RNAcentral.
AUGGUGAGACCUCAAACUCAGAGAAAAUUUUGGCGGGCUCCCAGGAGGAGCGCCACCAGUCCUAAUGAGUCAUCUAUUUUGGAACUGCCGGGGGCGGGGAACCGCCGGACAGUUCGUGAAGUUGGGGCUCUUGUAAAAGCCCAUUCCCCAAGCUUGGUCUUUCUCGCUGAAACGAGACAGACAAGUGCUAAAGUUGAAAGAAUGAAGUGGAAACUAGGUCUCAAAGGAUUUUGCAGCGUGGAUUGUGAAGUCCGGGGAGGAGGAAUAGCGUUGUUUUGGGAUGAAUCC